GUAUUGUAUAAGAAAAUGUUAGCAUUUGCCUUACAAGGACAGAAGAGGCCCUCAGGUCUGUACAACACACCUUCAGCUAAAGCCUUCCACCUGCUUCCAAUCCUGGUUUUGAGAAUGGAAUCAACUAUGUGAUGGG
This is a small nuclear RNA of Spermophilus dauricus (Daurian ground squirrel), 136 nucleotides long. NCBI's taxonomy places the organism in Eukaryota, Metazoa, Chordata, Mammalia, Rodentia, Sciuridae. The record is from Ensembl.